Molecule: long non-coding RNA, 2075 nt
Organism: Hemicordylus capensis (graceful crag lizard)
Lineage: Eukaryota; Metazoa; Chordata; Lepidosauria; Squamata; Cordylidae
Exons: 4
Source: RefSeq, a predicted model, not a curated record
UCUUGUUCAACUUGUCUCUUCUUGUAACACAGUAAAGAAGUCUUAGCCUAUAAUGUCUCCCUUUUUCUGAACUCUCAUGACAGAUGGAACUUGUGAUGAGAUCUGUGAUGGAAGGGAAAUUGAGAAGGAUUUGGUGAACAUUGAGGAAGAAGUCAACAUAUUUCUUCAGGAAUCUGGACCAAGUUGUCUUUCAAUGAGGAAGAUCAGGUAUUAAGACCUGCUUUUGGAACCACAGUCCUCAAGCUUGAAAUAUAAGACCACCCCCACUACCAAUUGUCAAGAUUUCUGAUCCAAAUUACUGUGCCUCAGAUAACCAAGGUGCCAGAGCCACUCACAGCCCAACUUCCAGAUUUACUCCAUCAAUACCAGAAAAAAAGACAGAGCAAGAGCAUUCAGGCAAAGGUGAUUUCCAGGAUGUUUUCCGGAUUAUGAGCUUUGCGCCGGUGGAAGCGUUUCGAGGUUCUUAUAUGGCUUUAAAAGGGGCUUAGACAAGUUCAUGGCGGACACGUCUAUCAAUGGCUACUAGAGAUGGCUAUAGACCAACUCCAGCUUCAGAGUCAAGAUGCCUCCACAUAUCAGUUGCAGGGGAGCCAUGGCAGGAGUGGGGGCAUGUCUUCAUCUCUUGCCUGUGGACUUCUGUGAAGGAAUGAGGCCUGGACUUCCUCUUCUUCAGUAUUCCUCUACUGCCAAUGUUUUUGCUUAUUCCCUAUGUUCAGUAUCAAAAAGCUGUGCAGGGGUCAAAAGUUCACAGUUCCUCCUGUUCUACAUUUUGGUUUAGAAGGGGAAAGAAUUUUACUGGUUAACCUUUGGAAUGUGUUAAAUUUUUAAUUACUGUUUAAAUUUUUUAAUUGCUGUUAUCUUUGAAUAUGUUGAAUUUUUUAACUGCUGUUUUAAUUGUUGUUUUUGUUUUGGUUUUGUUGUGUUUGUUUUUGUGAAUCGUCUAGGACUUUGGGAGUCAGGUGGUAUAGAAGUUAAAUAAAUAAAAUAAAUAAAUAAGAGAGGGUUUGAUUUGACUGGAUAUGUUUUAAAAUAAUGGAGGGAACUUGAGUUGUUCUUAUUUGGAGGGCGGGGGAUAGGCUAAAAGGAGGUUUGCCUGCAGUAGAUAGUUAGUCCAAAAGCUGUAGAGCUGAAUAGUUGGAAAGAUGUAGAGCUGGUUAGUUGAACAGUGAGGGCUGAAGAACUAGAGUCAGUUCAGGUUGGAGUUGGAGAGGCUCUGCACACAAUCGGUGUGUAGAGCCUAAUAGGGUUCUGCGGGCAGAGUGGGUCAAGCCUGCUCUCCCCACAGACAAUCACCAGGCUAGCUCUGAAUGGCCGGAUUGGUCACCCACACAAGUACUGGCUCCAUCAUGGAGCUGGUAGGGGUGAUGGGGAUGGGGGGCCUCCUGGCCCCCCAGGAAGUCCUAGAAUGCCCUGCGCAAGUGAGUGGAACAUUCUGGGGAGACCCCCCAAGACCAGGAGGCAUGCUGUUGCCUCCCAGCUAGUGGGUCUCCUCUUGAGUUGCCACAGUGCGGAGCCACACCGUGGCAACUCACAAUCAACUAAACAGGGUCAGCAGAGCGCUCGCUCCACUAAACUUGUUUAAGGGCUGGGGGCAAUUAAGUGCACUAACCUCCAGCAGCCACACAGUUCCUGGAGGUUCACACAUGUGGGGAUACUGGGCUGGACUCCCUUAGCCCAGUUUCCUCUGCAUGUGUGAAUAGCCUCAGAGUCUGGGAGAGCCAGGAGAGAAGAGCUGAGAAGUGCUGCUGAAAUUAAGAGCUCAAAAAUCACUGGGAGAGUUAAGCUGAAAACUCCCUUGAUACCCAAAUCACCCACAAAGCAGCUGAAGGAUCAGUCUGGAAUUGAACCUCCAGUACUGGAAAGAAUGAGCCAGACCUGCAGCUGAACAAGGGGGAAAGGCAGGCUUGCUUUAGUAGCUGAUCAAAGGUGCUUAUAAGAAAACUCCUGGUUAGGUUAAGGCACAGUAUUAGAUGCAGGUUAGACUGGAUGCAUUUUUUUUAUAUUUUAUUUGUUCCUUGUGCUCAUAUGGUUGCUUUGUACUAAAUUUUCCAAAAGAACUGCUGUUUUACAUUAAA